UACGUAGGGGGCAAGCGUUGUUCGGAAUUACUGGGCGUAAAGGGCGCGUAGGCGGCCUGCUAAGUCGAACGUGAAAAUCCCUGGGCUCAACCCAGGAACUGCGUCCGAUACUGGUUGGCUUGAAUCCGGGAGAGGGAUGUGGAAUUCCAGGUGUAGCGGUGAAAAUGCGUAGAUAUCUGGAGGAACACCGGUGGCGAAGGCGACAUCCUGGACCGGUAUUGACGCUGAGGGCGCGAAAAGCCCAGGGGGGAGCAAAACGGGG
RNAcentral lists this ribosomal RNA (262 nucleotides) under uncultured bacterium. Its description in RNAcentral is "partial 16S ribosomal RNA". It matches the Rfam family "Bacterial small subunit ribosomal RNA", at positions 524 to 778 of the family's 1533-position model. The record is from RNAcentral.